Molecule: ribosomal RNA, 397 nt
Filed under: Botuliformidae sp.
Lineage: Eukaryota; Cercozoa; Thecofilosea
Description: partial small subunit ribosomal RNA
Rfam family: Eukaryotic small subunit ribosomal RNA
Source: RNAcentral
AUUCCAGCUCCAAUAGCGUAUAUUAAAGUUGUUGCAGUUAAAAAGCUCGUAGUUGGAUUUCUGGUUUGAUGCCCUGGCCCGCUUCAAAUUUUGGAGUGUGUGCCGGCUGUGCGUCUGCCAUCCUUCUAGAAAACGUUCGUACCCUUCACUGGGCCGCGUUCGAGAUCUAGAUCUUUUACUUUGAAAAAAUUAGAGUGUUUAAAGCAGGCAGUUGCUAUGAAUACAUUAGCAUGGAAUAAUAAUCUAGGACUUCGGUUCUAUUUUGUUGGUUUCUAGUACUGAAGUAAUGAUUGAUAGGGAUAGUUGGGGGUGCUAGUAUUGAGCGGCCAGAGGUGAAAUUCUUGGAUUUGUUAAAGACGGACUACUGCGAAAGCAUUUGCCAAGGACGUUUUCAUUA